Molecule: small RNA, 564 nt
Filed under: Arabidopsis thaliana (thale cress)
Lineage: Eukaryota; Viridiplantae; Streptophyta; Magnoliopsida; Brassicales; Brassicaceae
Description: ATSL225550
Source: RNAcentral
AUAUUUGGUAUCUAAAUUAUCAUAUUAAUUUUUUUAUUAAUUAUUAUAUUUCACUUCUCAUCUUUAUAUGAUUCUAUUUUUACGGAAAAAUAAUAUCAUCAUUAUAAAAAAAUAAUUAGAGUUUUUUCGCAUAUGCCAUAAUUUGAAUUUUUAAAAACGAAUAUAAACUGUUCAAUACAUGAAAUAAUAUAAUAACGGGUGAAAAAUAGAUUUAAGAAAACUUUCUACUGAGUAACGGGACAUAAAUUUGAAAUAUUUAUAUUCAAUUUCAUACAUAUUAUAUUGAAAAUUUAUAAUAUUAUAUACUACAAUAGUUAAUAACAUAUUAGAUGUGAUUCAAUUUUUAAUACAAGCUGGAAAAUCUUAGAAUUGACGGGUUUAGAUCGAUAUUAAUACAAGAUGGUAUGCUACAUGUGAAACUCUUAAAUUAACAAUCAAACUACAAGUGUAUAAUCUUAAACACUAAACAAUAUAGAUAAUAUCAACAAAACAUAUACAACUCACAGUUUACUAUACAUUUAAAAUCAAAUAAAAUAAUAUCAUAUAUUUUUAAAUCAUCUUUAU